CUAAUUGGCACGGGAGAUGCCCCCCUUGAUGAAGAAGGAGGUUUCCCCAGGGCGAGGCUUGGCCAUGGCACUCCGGCUGUGCUGACCCCUGCAAAUUCCCCAAAUGUGGGAAUCUCGACUGCAUGAUUUCUGGUAGGGGGGGACUGCGUUCGCGCUCUCCCCUG
Small nuclear RNA from Lepisosteus oculatus (spotted gar), 164 nucleotides. Its record names the gene U1. It matches the Rfam family "U1 spliceosomal RNA". Rfam says of the family: U1 is a small nuclear RNA (snRNA) component of the spliceosome (involved in pre-mRNA splicing). Lineage: Eukaryota; Metazoa; Chordata; Actinopteri; Semionotiformes; Lepisosteidae. The record is from Ensembl.